Pogona vitticeps (central bearded dragon) is the source of this 1712-nucleotide long non-coding RNA. The record is from Ensembl. NCBI's taxonomy places the organism in Eukaryota, Metazoa, Chordata, Lepidosauria, Squamata, Agamidae.
CAUCAAAGCCUACCUAUAAAUUAUCACACUGAAUUCCCUGCUUGUCUGGGGGGGGGCUGUUUUCUCUAAUAGUGGAAUAAUCAGCCUAUCCUGUACUUCCUGCCUCCUUAUUUUUCCAAGGUCGAAGAACUUGCUAGCUAGUCAAAAUCCUUUCACCUCUCAAUUGUGUGCUUCCAUCAUCAUCCACCUUCUCUCUUUGUGCUUUCUAUGAAUUCGGUACCACUUAAGCAGGGACUUGUCUCCCAAGCCUUAUAGGGUUGAUGUAAUUGCUGUUGUCUAGGGAGCACACAGCUCAGAAGAGUUGCGUGUAAAGACUUCAAGAGGAUGCCAAAGAAGCCUUUAAAGACCUAAAUCCCCUGGGUUAGUUCUGGACAUGUGUUACUAGGUCCUGCCAUUACUAUUUAGGUUUCAUUAGGUGCUGUUUUUUUUGUUUGAACUUUUAAUGGUUUUGGUAAUGGAUGCUGGGUAUCAUGGGUUAAUUCUUUAAUUUAUUGCCCAGAGUAGUACUUGUCACUAAGUUGGGUGGUACAUAAAUAUUUGAAAUAAGUAAAUGAUCCAUUAGUGGUUGGAGAUGCUAGGGGUUGCAGACCCCCCCCCCAAAAAAACCAUAAGGAUUUCAAGCUCUGGUCUGGAGUGGGAAGCAGGGAGUCCUGGCAUGAUGGCCCAACCAUGAACCAGCUGGGGGCUGUUCAAGCAGCAGGCAAGGAGAAAGAAAUAGACUCGUCGUGUCUUAUUCGCCUUUCAGUCAUCAAAAAGGCCAUUCUGCGUGAUGAGCUUCUCCUGAAUCAGUUGAAAGGGAUACCGUUUUCUGACAUCAGCAUUGGAGGACUCCUCGGUCUGGUCAAUAGCAUCGCUGGGUAAGUAGAAAACUAGAGGCAUUUGGGAAAUGGAGAGGUUUUGCUCUUGCUGUCUUGGAGAACCCCUCCAGUCUUCUCACAAUGGGACCAUGCAGGUUGCAGGGAGCAAUGGGACAUUAGAGGUAUGUGCAGGGUAGGACCCUCGGGACCCCUUCAAGCCAGAAGUCUGGCAGAGACCAUAGAAAGCAUCUUCGGUCAUGCCUCUUGACUGAAUGCAAGAGAUGGGGCCAUCUACGGCUCUGCUACUGUUCUUUUUCUGAUUUGCCUCCUCUUUCUCACUGUGUGCUAAUCUCUCUUCUCAGGCUUAGAAUUGUGAACCUCGAAAUUACCGGUGUUCAACAAGUAUUUUCACCAGACGUAUCAGGCUGUCUUCUCUCUGUCUCCAUCCGUUUGGAAAUCUCUGGCCACACCCUGCUUGAUCUCUCGAACCUGGUCAGCAUCUCACUGGAACUGACGAUCCGAGUCAAAUAUUCAUUUAUAAACUUCCAGAGUGGGUCCUUUGAUUUCUUCUUUCACGAAUGUGGCGCUGAUUUUGGAGCUAUUAAAAUCAACAUCUUGGGCACUUAUGUGGCGUGGUGCAGACGGUCUUCAACUUGGUCAAAUCCCUCUUCUUGGACACGGUGAAUGGUAAGGCUUGAUGCUGUCUUACACCUCUUACUCUGGAUGAUAAAAACGAAAUACUUUAACACCCUGUUGACUGACCUUUCCUGUGUGUUCUAGAAUACUGCUUCUGGAUAGCCAUAAUACCUGGCACAGAUAAGUGGAUUAUACAGUUGGUCUUCGUUUGUGUAGCGGAGUAAAAGCACAUCAAACCUCUUCCCUUUUACCUUCUUGUGAUCAGUCAUCUAAACAGCU